AUUGAAUGGUGAUACUGGAUAGAU
This 24-nucleotide non-coding RNA is filed under the name Arabidopsis thaliana (thale cress). Lineage: Eukaryota; Viridiplantae; Streptophyta; Magnoliopsida; Brassicales; Brassicaceae. The record is from RNAcentral.